UACGUAGGGUGCGAGCGUUAAUCGGAAUUACUGGGCGUAAAGCGUGCGCAGGCGGUUUUGUAAGCCAGAUGUGAAAUCCCCGGGCUCAACCCGGGAACUGCGUCCGAUACUGGCAGGCUUGAAUCCGGGAGAGGGAUGUGGAAUUCCAGGUGUAGCGGUGAAAUGCGUAGAUAUCGGGAGGAACACCAGUGGCGAAGGCGACUUCCUGGCCUGUUCUUGACGCUGAGGCGCGAAAGCUAGGGUAGCAAACGGG
RNAcentral lists this ribosomal RNA (253 nucleotides) under uncultured bacterium. Its description in RNAcentral is "partial 16S ribosomal RNA". It matches the Rfam family "Bacterial small subunit ribosomal RNA", at positions 524 to 776 of the family's 1533-position model. The record is from RNAcentral.